This 488-nucleotide ribosomal RNA is filed under the name uncultured bacterium. RNAcentral describes it as "bacterial SSU rRNA". It matches the Rfam family "Bacterial small subunit ribosomal RNA", at positions 29 to 507 of the family's 1533-position model. The record is from RNAcentral.
AUGAACGCUAGCUACAGGCUCAACACAUGCAAGUCGAGGGCAGCAUGGUCUUAGCUUGCUAAGGCCGAUGGCGACCGGCGCACGGGUGAGUAACACGUAUCCAACCUGCCGUCUACUCUUGGACAGCCUUCUGAAAGGAAGAUUAGUACAAGAUGGCAUCAUGAGUCCGCAUGUUCACAUGAUUAAAGGUAUUCCGGUAGACGAUGGGGAUGCGUUCCAUUAGAUAGUAGGCGGGGUAACGGCCCACCUAGUCUUCGAUGGAUAGGGGUUCUGAGAGGAAGGUCCCCCACAUUGGAACUGAGACACGGUCCAAACUCCUACGGGAGGCAGCAGUGAGGAAUAUUGGUCAAUGGGCGAGAGCCUGAACCAGCCAAGUAGCGUGAAGGAUGACUGCCCUAUGGGUUGUAAACUUCUUUUAUAAAGGAAUAAAGUCGGGUAUGUAUACCCGUUUGCAUGUACUUUAUGAAUAAGGAUCGGCUAACUCCGUG